Molecule: long non-coding RNA, 3731 nt
Organism: Triticum aestivum (bread wheat)
Lineage: Eukaryota; Viridiplantae; Streptophyta; Magnoliopsida; Poales; Poaceae
Exons: 7
Source: RefSeq, a predicted model, not a curated record
GGCCUGGUUUUGGGCGGCCGUCAACAUACAACGCACUGAGCCGUGGGUCAGAGCCGCUAGAAUCUAUCUGAUCCGUGGCUCAGAAAGUUUUCUUUCCGUCACAGGAUGCCAGGCGCGUCAUCAAUGCAACCCCUGGCUCCUCUGCCGUAGCGCCAUAGCCAUUUUCGCGAAGGCGAGAGAGGGAGCGAGAAGAAGAACAGGCGACCCGUCGCGCCAUGGAGUUCCUAAUGCAGCCAAUCCGCAGAUCUACGAAUUUUGAGGAGGUCGGAGAGAGCAUGGUGUCGGAAGGUUCGCCGGCAGUUGGGACAAGGCGAACGGCGGUGGAGGUGGCGCUGCACGACGGAAUAGUUUUGAGCGGGGACAAGCGGCUCUGCCCGUCGUCAGGAGCGGUAAUGUUGAGUGGCCAAGGACAAAUCUGCAGCGGUACGCCGGCGGCGGCUAUGAGCGGCGAAGAAUGAAUAUGCAGUGCGGUGCAAGCAGCAGCGGUGAGAAAGGAGAGCUCGCCUCCCACAUCUGAGCUGUCCACGGGCUCCUGGUUGGAAUAAGAGGUUGCGGAUUGGUGCUGCUGGCCCCAGCAAGGCGCCUUGCGCUACCCGUAUUGUUCGCCGAAAAGCCGACGGAUAAUGUAAUCACUGCAGUGCUGGGUACUACCUUUGACUCGCUUGGAUAAGCAUACGAUUUCUACAGCUUGUAUUCCUGGGAGAAAGGAUUUGAUAUAAGAUAUGGUAAAAGCCGGCUAAAUGUGGAGAGGAUGAAGUGCAUGCAGGAAAUUGUUUGCGGAUGUUUGCUAGUGUGGAGAACACAAGGUCCUGUCAGUGUGAAUGCCGAGCGUUAAUAAGGCUGUUAUGGAUAGAGGACAAUGGUUGGUAUAUCGCAGAGCAUCGAGAGAGCCAUAACCACUCGCUUUCGCCAAAUUUCGGUGAGACAAUUCACUGGUCAUCCCACAAGCACUUUGAUGUGUACAGCAGGGAUUUGAGAAAGCAUUUGCGGCAGAAUAAUGUCAACCUAGCUAAGGUGUAUAGCAUAGUAGGCAUAUUUUUUGGAUCGAUGAAAAAUGUGCCAUUUACGAAGAGGUCUUUGUGUAAUCUUUGCGGCCAGAUUAGCAGGGAACAAUCAGAUGAUAAUGUAAGGAAAACAAUGGAGGUUUUUGCAGAAAUUGGGGCAAAGGACCCUCAUUUCAAAUACAGAGUUCAGCCUGACAAAGAGGGCGGGAUCAAGAACCUUAUGUGGGCAAGCGGGAGCAAUAGGUUGCAGUACACAUUUUCCGGUAGUGCAUUAACAUUUGACACAACCUACAUGACAAAUUUGUAUGACAUGCCUUUCAGACUAUUUGUUGGUGUGAACAACCAUUUUCAGAGAGUGAUCCCGGCUGGAUUGAUUGUGUGUGGCGAAACUGUCGAGAGUUUCAAAUGGGUUUUCUCUGAAUUUCUCAGAAUCAUGGGUGGCGCUGCACCAAAAAACUAUACUUACUGGCAAGAUCUUCAUUUCAUUGCUGUUAUUUAUAUGGUGGUGUUUCCGUAGUCUAAAAAAAUAUGAUUGAUAUUUACUUUUCUGCAAAUCGUCAUGACUGAUGGAUGUCAAAUUUUGUUUGGUUCACAGACCAGAAUCGGGCUAUGGAAGUGGCGUUCAAGAACAUAAUGCCAGAUACUAUGCACUGCUGGUGUAAGUGGCACGUGCUAAAUAAAGUCAAAGAAUCGUUGGGCCUCUGCACACCAAGAAGAGUGAAUUCUGAGCAGAGUUCCGCAAAAGUGGUGAAUCACAUGCUGACGGUGGGUGAAUUUGAGAAAGACUGGGAAUUGUUGCUUGCUAAAUACAUGAUGAGGUCGCAUCCAUAUAUGACGAACCUAUUUGAGAUCAGGGAGAAAAUGGGCGAAGCCGUAUUUGAAAGGAGUGUUUUGUGCCAAGAUAGCGAGCACGCAAAGUAGUGAAAGUGCGAACCAUAUGUUAAAGAAUUAUGUCCCUCCAGGAUGUCCAAUGCUUAUGUUUCUUUAGAAGUAUAUGAGGCUACUCUUUGACAGUGAAGCGGAAGAGAACUAUGAAGAGAAGCGAACAAGAAUUGGGAGGCCUUUGUUAAGAGCAAACUUGGCAGUUGAAAGACAUGCUGGAAAGAUAUAUACAAGGGCCAUGUUUGAGGAAUUUGGGCAUAUAUUGUAUGAGUGUCGAGUUAACCAAGUGGAAGAAAUUGAGAAACAUAAGCUGUAUGUUGCAAUUCACAUUGAGGCUGACAAAAGAGAGAAGUGGUGCAGGGUGUCAUAUGAGGUAAAAGUUGCUAGACGGAGGUCACGAAUUUGAAUGUGAAUGCGGGCAGUUUGAACACAUGGGGCUGCUGUGCAGCCAUGUGUUGAAGGUCCUAGACUUCAUCCGAGCUAAAGAAAUCCCAGUUAAGCAUACAGUAAAAAGGUGGAGAAAGGAUGCUUGAGAUAUACUGCCUAAGGACCUUGUGCAAUAUCAGAAAGAAGACAUGCAUAAAAAUCCAUUCUCAUACAGACACUUCACCAUAUAUAUGCAUGCGAUGGAACUAGCCCGCCUGGGCGAUACAAGUGUGGAGGCAUACAACCGUUUGAUGGGGCUAUUCAAAGCAAACCUGGCAGAGAUGUUGCCAGAUGCCGAAGGGAGAGAUGGCCUUGGUCUCGAGGAUAGGCUUGCUGAUAAGGGAGGUGCUGUGAAUCAGAUGGCAUCGUCCAUGGCGGCCGAAGUAGUGAACAAUAGUGGUCAGUAUGCCGGAAGCAAGGCCGGAUAAGAACAACUUGCCCAGACCGAGGAGAUGUACCAAAGCAGCCGAGGAAGCCGGCUAGGUAUAAGAAUUGCGGAGUGGAGGGUCGCCAGAGGAAUAAUUGUAAAAGGCAAUUGAUCUUAGGUUAGUAGGUGGAAUGUAGUUGCUGGCUGAUCAAACUAAUGAAUUAUCUGUUGACAUGUUCUCCAUAAUGGUUCAGUGUUUCGAUGUUCAUGUGUUGGGGUGUAAGCUCGAUACUUUGGUAAUGCUGGUGGAACUGAAACAAGUGCUGUAUGAUGGGUGAAACAUGCAAAAUCUGUGUACAUUAGCUGGAAGGCAGUCUGUAAUUUCCCUUGUUAUUCUCUUGGUUCAUGACAUGUGAGUUAGGCUUUUUUUGCUGAAUCUGAAUUUUGGUCUGUACUAUGCCUGCAAUCUGGACAAGGGAUGAGCGGAAGGGCGUGCCCAUGUUGCGAGGAAGAAGCUGAGGAGGACAUGGCCGCCGAUAUGGUUUCUUGCGAGCUUAGAUGGGAUGAGAGAGGAGGAGCAGGAGGAAGGAUCGAGAGCAGGGUGAGGGGUUGGUGAGGCACAGUAAAUACGGUAGCGAGUGGACAGUGGCCGUUAAGGCUGUAAGGCCGAGCCGUGGCUCUGAACAUAGCAGUCCGUCUGAGCCGGUUCACGCGGGACGGAAAGGUGGCAUCAUGUGGGAUAGGAUGUAGGCAUCAAUGGGGCAUCUUACUUCUUGCGGGAUGUAGGCGUCGACGACGGGCACGACCGUGAGCGGAGCCGCCUACAUCGUCCUGAUGGCCUUGAUGACCUUGGUGCGGCUCGCCACCGCGAGCAUGGCCUCGCUCGCCCCGCUGAGCUCACGAACGAUGCGCAACAGGACGCCACCGAGCUCCGCGUCGAAACCUGACCAUGUCAAUCUGGGUGAGCAUCUUGUACAUUGGCACCGACUCCAUAAGCUCCACCAGCACCAUGUUGUCCACCGAGCUCUUUAGCGGCACCAGCGCGAUGCACG